Molecule: unclassified non-coding RNA, 3885 nt
Filed under: Helicoverpa zea (corn earworm)
Lineage: Eukaryota; Metazoa; Arthropoda; Insecta; Lepidoptera; Noctuidae
Description: transmembrane protein 184A, transcript variant X1
Source: RNAcentral
AUCUUAACGUCAAUUCGUCACGAAGACAAUCACGAAAUCACGAAUUUGUGCAAGUGGUGAGCAAAGUAAAUGAUGAGAAAGCAAGCAAAGUGAAAUUGUUGUUUUUGUCAGUGUUUUGUUAAAUAUACGUUUGUGUUUUAUUUACGUCUAUAUACUUUGCGUAAACAUUGUUGUGUAGGAAACCUACGUGAUUAUGUGUACAAUAUGCGCAGAGUGUUGAUUACGAAUGACAUCUGUUAACAAAAGGAAAACAGUAAAAUAGAGACGUUCAUAAUCUUAAUUCAGUAUGAGUUCGACGGAGACCAUCAACCUCACGGCUCAGCCGAUGAUUAAGGAGGUGGUCCACGAAAAGGAUUCCAUGUUCCUCCAGACCCCUGGUGCUCAGGGAAUCGCCGGAAUCUUCGUGUUUGCGGCGCUAUUCAUUACUUGCCAACAGAUUUACCAGCACCUGCGCUGGUACACGAAUCCCUCCGAGCAGCGUUGGAUAGUCCGUAUUCUCUUCAUUGUACCUAUAUACGGCUGUUACAGCUGGAUCUCACUGCUGUUCUUCAACGGAAACUCCUACUAUGUAUACUUCUUCACUGUCAGAGAUUGCUAUGAAGCAUUCGUGAUCUACAGUUUCCUGUCGCUCUGCUACGAGUAUCUGGGCGGGGAGGGUAACAUAAUGUCGGAGCUCCGCGGGCGUCCCGUGCGGGCGUCGUGCGUGAAUGGCACGUGCUGCCUCAGUGGCGCCACCUAUACCAUCGGUUUCUUGCGCUUCUGCAAGCAGGCUACACUGCAGUUCUGUCUCAUUAAGCCCGUUUGCGCCUUCAUUAUUAUAUUCUUACAGGCUCGUGGGCUAUACCACGACGGCGACUGGAGCCCCGACGGCGGCUACAUCUACAUCACCAUCGUGUACAACUUCUCCGUGAGCCUGGCGCUCUACAGCCUGUUCCUCUUCCUCGGAGCCACCAGGGAGAUGCUCAAGCCCUUCGAUCCAGUACUCAAGUUCUUCACCGUCAAGUCUGUCAUCUUCCUUUCGUUUUGGCAAGGUGUAGCCCUAGCCAUUCUGGAGAAGGCCGAGGUGAUAUCUCCUAUCCACGACGCGAACGGCGUGCCGACCACAGCGGGUACAGUGUCUGCGGGCUACCAGAACUUCCUGAUCUGCCUGGAGAUGUUAGCGGCGGCCGUGGCGCUGCGGUACGCGUUCCCGGCCGCCGUGUACGCGCACGCGCACCGCGACCCGCACCGCUCCGUCACCAUGCAGUCCAUCUCCAGUAGCCUCAAGGAGACAAUGAACCCCAAGGACAUAAUGACGGACGCGUUCCACAACUUCCACCCGCAGUACCAGCAGUACACACAAUACAGCUCUGUGAUGCGCGGAGGCGCGGGCGCGGGCAAGCGGGACGAGGGCGCAGCCCUGGCGCCCCGGCCGCCGCCGCAGCGCGUCGCCACCAUCUGCCACGCCACCAACUACCACGAGAAGACCACACUCCUCAGCUCCGACGACGAGUUCCAGUGAGCCCCCGAUACCCCACGAACACGUUGUUACCCGACCACUGUCCCACUUCUUGAUGGCUUAAGAAACUUGGACUGAAAUAAUCUGGAACUUCUGUUGGCAUAAAUCUCCUUGGAAUUUAAUUUGAAUAAUUGCUACUGGCAACUGUUCAAAUUAAAUGGUCUCUAGGCUCAAAAUUGUCUAUGGUCUGAUAUGAAUACGUUCGAGAGUCCUGUCGAGUAACAACAAAUUCUACCGGUAAAAGAAUUUAGGAACGAAAACUGAAGGAUGUUCAUUUUAAUAGAUAAAGGAUAAUAUAUUUUUAUGCAUCUCUUGGAGUCCUUUACCACUUUUAAAGCGUAAUACUUAAAAGCCUGGCCCGUAGCAUGUACCUUUGUUGUCGAUGUUCAGAAAGAUAUAAAAUUCAUAGGAAAUAGUAAUAAAAAAAUCUGUGUUACUCGGUGUACUAAAUCAAAAAAAAAAUAUAUACUUACCUUUUAUUGUUAGUGAAGUAUUACCUAAUUUAAAAGCAUUUUUUUAUUAUUUACUUUAGGUAUGAUUUAGUGCAGUUAUUUAAACAAUACAAGCAAUCAUUAGAAAUAAGCAUAACAGCCUGUAUUUAAAACGAAUGAAAGGAGAACAGAAGCACAUACCUAGUAAAAAGAGUAAUAAAUACUUAAAGUAAUAGGUAUUAAAACAAAAUAUUGCCUUUUGACCUGUCUGUAGAGGUUUUACUGCGAUUCUUCAUACCACGGCGACAACGGCUCGAUAUAGGAACAUAAGAUUGUAUAGUUAUGUAAAAUAAGAAGUAAAUCAAAUAACAAUUGAUACAUUACAAAUUGUACAGGUAAAAAGGAAUUAUUAUUCUAUAGAUAGCUAUUAUUAUAUCGCUGUAAGGGCCGUAGUAAAUGGCAACCCUAUUCAUUACUUACCUAAAUCUAAAUAAAUUAUGCAUUUCUUUGACGGCAGUGUUUAAAUCAAGCUGAUUCAUGGAGCCACCUUUUAAUAUAAAAACUGAAAUUCCAUUCACAAGUUCUUUGUAUGUGCCUUUUGGAUAAACUCUGCUUUUAAACAAAAUAGACGUUAUAAAAAUGCUUGUAGAAUCUAUUUUUCUUAAGACUUGUGGGUCGACACUCAUUUUUUAUAAAUGUUGUGCACAAAAUAAAAACAUUCCUUCUUGCCAAAUAUCUACCAAAGAGUCACUGCCAAAGAAUAACUUAUUUUUGCAACCUGCAGUGUUAGAGUAGUUCAAAUUAAAGUCAAUAAAAAAGUAAUAAAUUAUUGUCGAUGCUCACCACUGCUUCGCCGUCCAAAAUUGCUUAGGCUCCAUUUGCCCUUACAAAAUCGAUAAAUAUUUUCAUUAGCAGAAUUUGCUUUAGAGGUGCGUUUACACUAAAUUAAUAAAUUAUAUUUUUCUGUAAUGUGAGAUAAAGUUUAUCCAGUACCAAAUGUUUCAGAUACCUACGUCAAGUACUAGUCUUCAUUUUUAUUCAAUACAUUACAAAAAAUACAUUACUUUUAAUCCUGUAAAAGAGUAAAGAAAGCAUCAUUUGUUGCUUGGUAUAAACGCACCUUAAUGCAAAAAUUAGGUAAGUCUAUAGAAACGCCUGGAUUAUUUGGUAGUUAACUCUUAUUUACCUUAUAGCAACUUAAAUUAUUAUUACUUUAUGUGUUAAAUGUAUUUCAAUGUAGGAACUUGUUGUUUUGUUGUAACAAUUAACUUUUGUGUAAUGUAUAUUUAAUAUUUUACAUUAGAUUAGUAACUAUAAUUACUGUAUGUAUUUAUUUUUAAUAUCAUAAGUGUAUUAUCCUACUUUCACCUUACUGUAAAUAUCACCUUGAUUACGUAAAUACCUUAAUUACAUUUAUUUUGCUUAGGAAUGGUUGUAUGAGAAUAAUACCUACGUUUAUGUUUAAAUUCUUUAGUCAAUUAUCUUCCCUUCUAUAGGUACGCAAUUGCUCUUAGAUCGUAUAAAGAAAUACUUAUUUGUUACCAAAUUAUUUUUAAUUAUAUUAUGUAAACAAAAAAUCCCUAAUGCAUUUAUGAAUACUAGCUCGCCAAACAACGCUAUUUAAUCACGCAGUCGAGAGUUAGUUACCUUUUAUUGAUCUCAUGGUUUUGCUUCGAAAUUUUUCAUUGCAUUUGAAUCUUUGUAUGAUCUAAGAGCAUCUUUUUAACUUAAUGUAUGUGAACAUAGGCCAAUUUUGUAUUAUAAGAGGCUUUCUUUUCUGGAUCGAAAGAUUUAUUUUUGUAACAGAAGUAGUUGAAUGACAGUAACACACGUUUCGCCUGAAUGAUUGUUGAAAAAUAAUAUAACAUGAAUAAACGUUAGAUAUUUUAUUAAUUAAAAAUGUUUUAGCUCCAAGUUUUUAAGUAUAUGUAUAAAUAAAUAAUGAUAUUGACAUAA